This 4443-nucleotide long non-coding RNA is filed under the name Salvia miltiorrhiza (redroot sage). RNAcentral's name for it is "long non-coding RNA (SMIL_LNC007705)". The record is from RNAcentral. Lineage: Eukaryota; Viridiplantae; Streptophyta; Magnoliopsida; Lamiales; Lamiaceae.
GGAGGAGGAGCCGUGCAGUCACUGGAGGAGAAGAGAGGCCGAGGAGAUGGCUCCCGGUGAUCGUCUCGAUUUGUGGGUGUGUGAGUUUUGACCAUGGAUGUGAGUUAGAGAGAGAAUCUGUGAACAGGGGGCUGGGUUUUGUCGAGGGCACGGCGGCGGUGCCACUGCUGCCCGGCCACGGCUGGAGAGAGAGAGAGAGGUCGGAGAUCUGAGGGAGAGACGGCGGUGACUAUCGUUGUUGUCGCCGGAAGGUUUGAGAAAGAGCAGAGGGAGGCAGAGCUCCGGUGGCGAUUGUGUUGCUGCCGAGUUGAGUCAGAGAGAGGAGUGUCGCGGUUUGUGAGAGAGACGAACGGGCUGGGAGAAGUCGGAGGCGGCGUCGCCUGAUCUACGGGCGGCGGCCGGAGAAUCGAGAGAGAGGGGCGGACCGGCAGUAGCUUCUCGCUGCUGACUCGCCGGGGUUCCAGAGAGGAAUUGUGGCGGCGCGAUUUGGUUAGGUCGAGUGAGAUGGGGUGGCCGGCGAUCACUCUUCGCCGGAGAAGAGGGCGGCACCGCACCAAUCUCUGGUGUGUGCGUGCGCCGAUGUGUGAGUGUGUGCGUGUGUUUCAGAAUGUGUGUGUGCGUGUGAUUAAAGAAGAAGGGAAGGGUGAUGGGCUUUGAGUGUUGGGCUUAAGAGAAAGGGUUUGGGUUUUGGGCUCUUUUUGUUUUGGGCCGAUUUUAAUUGUAUUAAAUUUCAGUUUGGGCUUCUGAUUAUAUUAAAUCAUGGGCUGCCCAAUUAUUGAUUUAAUUGGAUUGUGCAUAUUUGUUUUAAAGAGCUACACUAUUAUAAUUAAUUAGACUUAUUAAGUUUGAUUAAUUAUUUUUAAUUUUCAUAAUAAUAUUAAAUUAUUAUUAUAAGCAUAUUUUAAGCAAAUUACUUAUUAUAUGCUAAGCAUGACAUGAUUUGCAUUAUAUUUUGCAAUAAGAAUAUUUAUGAUUUAAUUGGUUUUAUUUAUAAUUCCAAUUAUUAAACAAAAAGAUGAGUAAGAAUAUUGUUGGUGUUCUUAACUCAAGAGAAAUGUUUUCAUUUAUUUAUUCAUUAAAUUUUGAAAACCCGGCUAAGUGAAUCAUAGAAUAUUAAGCACUACACCACGACUUAAGAUUAGAUUCAACGAGACCUAUUAAGAAUAGAUUUCUUGUAGGCUUUGAGCAUCAGGAUGAUUAGCACUGCUUUCCGAUUCAGAGAUAAGGUUAAACGACAGGCUUUGCCUAUCCAGGUGGGCUUACUUUCCAAAUGUACAAAGUAUGAUUGAGUUAUUAAGCUCUAAAUGUUUCAAUGAAAUGCAAAUUGUUUAUUUAAUGUAAUGAAAACUGUUUAUCCAAUAAAAUGUUUAUGUGCACUCUGCUCUGUUUAAGGCUCGCGCAGUUAAUCAAUUGAGGUUCUCUUAUGACCUAAUACGUUGUUUGAGAAUUGUGUACACUUGUUAGUUGACUCGGUGGGUUGAUCUCCAUCGGGCUCUAACCAGAGGCGUUAUAAGGGUGCUUGGCUGGAUGUGUUCCGGAGCAUGUAUCAUGUAAGGCUUGCCUGGGUAGCGUCCCGAGGUCAAUUCAACUUGUCUGAGUUACAUCCUCAGGGCAAGUAAGCGGGAGACAGAGAUCCGUCGGUGGCUAGAGGUCCGGGAUCACAGCGAGUAACAGAAAGGGAGUGUGACAUGUGCGCACAAAUGAAAGAAAAUAUUUUAACAUGCUUAGAAGUUAUUUCAAUUUAAAACCUUCUAAGUCAUGUCAAGUAUGAUUGGAUAAACUGUCUUUAUUAAAAUAUAAAAUGUUUCAGAAAAUGCAUGCCCACUAAGUACAUUAGUACUUAGCCCAAAAAUACUUUCAAAUGUUUUCAGGUUGGCUGGCAGGUGAUGACGGGGCGGAGCUGAGGCUAGAGUUCAACUCCUUAUUUUAAUUUCCGCUGCAGAACUAGCCAGUAUCUGUCUUUUGUUCCUUAACUUAAGACCUAUUAUGUUGUGAUUAUGAACAAUAUCUUUUGUUGAGCCUAGACUAUUGACUCUCAAGUAUUUUGAUCAGUGAAUGUUGGUUAUCUGAAACAUGACACUAAACUUGUGAUCCUGAAGUUGUUAUAUUUGUUGAUUGAUUUGUAUCACUUGAAUACAUGUCUUUCUUCAUCCAAAUGGGCUAAGCCCGUUCGUUAUCCCUUUUAUUUGGAUUUCACAAGGAUUUUCCCUUGUUCAUUUAGAUGAUUAGUCGUACCCCAGUUAUAGUUAUUGUUUCAAGAAUUGGGGUGUGACAUAAGAAGUAAAAAAAGAUCAUUUUUCUUUUUUCGUUAGUGUAACGUUUCUGCUUCUUCUUGUUCUUUCUUAAAUCAAAUGGGGUGUUUAAUUAAAUCAGUCUUAGAACGACGACUUUUAUCAUUUUUACGAAAACAAAGAUGUUCCAAUCAGCAUAAGUAAGACAUGUCACUUACACGUCAUCAAAAGUACGGAUAGAAGACUUCACUGUGGGAAAAAUCAGACUCAAUCGAAAGUUGAUGAAUUUUUAAAUAAUUUUUUAAAAUCAUGGGAACAAGAAAACGACUCAAGUUUGUGGAUUUUUACGCUAUUUGUCCUUAUAUAUAGAGUGAGAAUAUUGACAAAAUAUUGCAUAUAAAUAAUAAAUUCGAAAAUGCACGUAUUAUUUUGUAGUAAACUCUAAUUCUGUAGGUUUGGCGCCACAGUAACUACUGUUUGGAUUGGAGUUUUUAUCGUUAAUUAAAUUUUUAAUUUAGAACCUACAAUCCUAUACAUGCAAGUUAAUAUGUAUUUAAUGUUAAAGUUAAGAAGAAACAGUAGUAAGUAGUAUAUAAUAUAUGAAUGUCUAAAUUAAUAUUUAAUACUGAAUUAUAAACAGAAGUUUUUUUAAUAACAAAAUUGUAAAUUAAUACUGAGGUGGCAGUGGGUUUUUACCGCAACACCACAUUUGUUGAAACGAGGAAAAUCGCGCAGAGUUUCUAAUUUUAACAAGUGAAUAAUGAAUAAAUGUUUAUAUUAAGCAUAAAAUCUCUAUUUAUAGGCUACAAGUCAGAUCUAACAUCAAGGCCCACUAAUAAGGCAAUUUGGUUCAAGUUUCUUAAAAACUCAAUGGGAAAAAAAUACCUUAUAGGAAAAGGAGUAUCUAAUUUAUUGCAAGGCUAAUUUAGACUGCAAUUAUUAACUAAGAAAGUUUGGUUCAAGUUUCUUAAAAACUCAAUGGGAAAAAAUUACCUUAUAGGGAAAAGAGUAUCUAAUUUAUUGCAAGGCUAAUUUAGAAAGUGCAAUUAUUAACUAAGAAAGUUGACAUGUACUCCCUUCGUUCCCCAAAUAACUUUCUAGUAAGGGACGCUAUAAAUUCUUAAAAAAAAUUGUUAAGUAUAUUAGUAGUGGAGAAAAGUGUUAUAAUUAAUAUUGAAAGUGGUGAAAAUAUGUUAUAUAUAAUUAGAAUUGAGAAUGAUGAAAGUUGAAAAGUAAGAAUAAAUAAAAUAUUAUAAAUCGUGGGAUAAUGUCCCAAAAUAAAUAGAAGUUAUUUAGGGGACAUUCAAAAAAAAUAUAAAAAGUUAUUUGGGGGAUGGAGGGGGUAUAUAUUAAUGAAUUAAACAAAUUAAAUUGAUAAAGAAAGGGCAAUCUGACUUCCUAGAAUUAAGUUUAAAAAUGACAAUUAACUUCAAAAACUUGCAAGUUGCAUAUAUCUACAAAUUUCUUGGGGGGCGAAACAUGUAUAAAUAGGGUUCAUUCCCACACAUUCUAAUACACCACAACCAAAAUCACAAAAAAGCCUCACACACCAAUCAAACCAUAGAAAUGUCUCCGAACCAAGCUCCCGCCUUGGUCGUGGUGGCUCUCCUCCUCUUGGUUGCUGCGGCCCACGGCCAAGUAACAGGGAUCAUCGUAAACAGCCAACUUUGCUGCACGUCCACCGGAAACUGCCCGCCCGGCGCUACGGGCAUUCCCGGAGUGCUGGUGAACUUAACCUGCACAUCCCCACUGGGCGGCGGAUCAAUCACGGUGGGGCAGGCCGUCACCGGCGUGAACGGAGUGUUAAACAUUAGUGUUCCCAACACAGUUGCUUCGAUAGCCAAAAUCCCCUCCAUUCUCGGCCAAGGCCUACCGUGCUACAUCAUCUUCAACCUUCCGCUCAACCAAACAGUCUGCCCGCUCCUAAACACCGCCACCGGCGUGAUCUUCGGCAUUCCCACUUUUGUUGACACUGUGAUUUCGCCGGUGCUUGGACUCAUUGAGAGAUUCGUGGUGUUGUUGCUUCUCAGGGUCACCCUCUGAGAUCAUCUAUUAAUUAAUCUUCUCCUUAAAUUUUCCUAAUUAAUUAAUACACACUAUAAAUAAGCACGAAGCAAGCAUAUAUAUAUAUAUAUAUAAUAUGCUCUUCUUGUGUGUAUGUGUUGUAACCCUUUGUAUACGUAUAUUAGACUCAAAUAUAAUAUAUAUGGAG